CCUACGGGAGGCAGCAGUGGGGAAUAUUGGGCAAUGGGCGCAAGCCUGACCCAGCAACGCCGCGUGAAGGAAGAAGGCUUUCGGGUUGUAAACUUCUUUUCUCAGGGACGAAGCAAGUGACGGUACCUGAGGAAUAAGCCACGGCUAACUACGUGCCAGCCGCCGCGGUAAUACGUAGGUGGCAAGCGCUAGCCGGAUUUACUGGGUGUAAAGGGGGUGUAGGCGGGACUGCAAGUCAGAUGUGAAAACCAUGAGCUCAACCUAAGGCCUGUAUUUGAAACUGUAGUUCUUGAGUACUGGAGAGGCAGACGGAAUUCCUAGUGUAGCGGUGAAAUGCGUAGAUAUUAGGAGGAACACCAGUGGCGAAGGCGGUCUGCUGGACAGCAACUGACGCUGAGGCGCGAAAGCGUGGGGAGCAAACAGGAUUAGAUACCCGGGUAGUC
RNAcentral lists this ribosomal RNA (443 nucleotides) under uncultured bacterium. RNAcentral describes it as "partial 16S ribosomal RNA". It matches the Rfam family "Bacterial small subunit ribosomal RNA", at positions 338 to 795 of the family's 1533-position model. The record is from RNAcentral.